Molecule: long non-coding RNA, 2933 nt
Filed under: Zea mays
Lineage: Eukaryota; Viridiplantae; Streptophyta; Magnoliopsida; Poales; Poaceae
Description: long non-coding RNA (ZMAY_LNC004130)
Source: RNAcentral
UUUGGUGGCUUAAAAUUCUCUCGUCUUCCAUUUUAUUUCCUCUUAUUUCAUGUGACUAUGGUGGUGUUGUUUUAGCUUUCUUUGCCGACUGUACUGCCAAACGUUCAGCUUUUUAAGCCGUUAAGAUGAGAAUCACUUUGGUGAAAAUCGUUCAGAAUCAACGUGAACAGAAAAUCAGUCGUGUCAUCGGGAUAGGAGCAAUCGUCGCUUUCUAUAUCUUAAACACUAUGGACCACUUCACCUUACUUCGUAUAUAAUCCCCACGAUACUUAGAUUCUCUCCGCAACCAGAUUCUGUCCAUAACCAGAACGAUUCUAAAAAAAACUCAUAAUAAAAAAGCCGAACAUCAAACGGGCUGUAGCUAGGUUGUGUAGUUUCCGUACAGUCCAUAUUCACAUACCAUAUGUUUGGUUUCCCCGAUGCAGACGUGUAGCCCCAUCCAAACCUACAUGGUGGGAUACGGGACCUUACCCACAUCUCCGCGGUGCAACCCAUGUCUCCUAAAAUGGCUUUCUUUGUAUCCGUGUGCGCAGUUCAGAGCUCCAUCAUACAACCAACCAUGCAGGUGCACUUCCUCGGUCAACGGAUGACACAGACCUAGACGCGUACAUCUAAGAAACCAAAUACACGGAUAUAGUUAGCGAGCUUCAUAAAUUCGUUACCCAGAUCUCUCACAAAAAUUCAAAUAUUUAGUCGACUUAUAAAUUUAAACUUUGGAUCAUUUUGUACCAUAAUUACAUCGCUACAAAAAAUCAAGAAACUUUCUUUGGUCAUAUUAAUUUUCUGCGCUUUCCAAUAAUGACGCCGAAAAUUAUUCGGUUGAACCUCUUUUGAAAACCGGUUGAACCUCUUUGGCAGACCUGUCAGUCAGUCUUGCCAGUCUGGCUGACAGAUUGUUGUGCAGUCUAGCCAAGUUGACCAAACCGAUUGAACCGCCCUGGGGGCGAUUGAACCGCCCCUAACGACUCUGUCGACCUGUACGCCAGUCUGACUGGCAGAUUGUUGGUCAGACGUCAGAGGGGUCAGAGACCAGUUGAACUGCCCCGAAAAACGAGUUCAACUGGUCUUGACCAGAAAGUUCAGGAGAGAAAACCCUAGUUCAACUACCCAGAGGCAAGUUCAACUGGUGUAUGGUCAGAGAGGUUCACAGUUGAAGUUGAAGUUCAGCUGGAGUUGAGAAAGCUCAGCUAGAGUUGAAAAAGCUCAACUACAGCUGAAGAAGCUCAACUCAGCUGAAGUUUAGUUCAGCUGAAAAGCUCAACUGCAGCUGAAGAAGUGCAGCUGUUUUUCAACAAGAACACUCCCAGUUUCUCAAACCUAACCACUGUCAACCAUAAAACGUUCAAGAGAUUUUUGGUUUUCAAAAAUAGCUUCUGAAUAUAGAUGCUUGAGCUUUGGCAAACACCAACCUUCUUUUUGGAUCCCUUUAUAGUACGAUGAUUCCUAUACCCAAGUUAAAUAAAAUAUAAUUAACUAAACUCCUUGAGUAAUUGGCGCCUCAUGUGUGAUUUCUCCAUGGCGUUGCUUCAUAAGGAUCACAAACAUCUUUGUCUCACCUUUUGAAGCAAACACAACUCAAACCUUGUGACUUAUACCAUAUCACCAUAUAUGAGUUUAAAUCAUGGCUUCAAGUCACCGUACUGAUGCAUCAACAUGUUAUAACUCUUCAUAGCUGAUUAGUUCAUCGACUUAUAGUGCAAGUACUCUCUUCUUCACCUUAGCCAUAGUACCUCGGUCCACAAGCCGUCGCUUGGCCUCCACCUUCGCUUAGUUCCUCGAAGCCCUUUCCUUGCUAUCUUCACCCUAUCAAGCCAUUCUUGAGUCACAUCAUAUUGAGCAUCCAUUGAGAGAAUCAUUUCUUCAAUAUUGUGAACCUUGCUUGAAUGUCUUCUAGAUAUAACCGUUAAGAUCAAUCAAGCUCUAGUUUGAUUCUCAUAGAAGCAUAUAUGAACUGAUAGUAAUAUGGUCAAGCCAAUUCACGAUUCCUCAUAUCUUAUUCACUUUGGCUUGACCAAUCCUCUUAAUCACUUCAUCCUCUAUUCUGACCAUAUGUAUGUAGUGAUUUCUCAGGCCUUGUCCAUAUAUUCAAACAAUAUAGAGAUCAUAUUAUAUCCAUUUUCAUUGUCUCAUUGGUUAUUUAACCUCGUAUUGAACCUUUGUUCACUGAUCAUUAUACACUAUUCAAGUAUGUUCAUCAUACUGAAUUUCUUGUUCAACACUUAGCAAACUCGUUAGACCUUUAAAUAUGUUGUUAUCUAAAUCACCAAAACUCACAAAAGGGAUGAAUGCACUUUCAGCGUGAUAUCGGCCGCCCGAUUAGCAGCCAACGGCGUAGAUUAGUUCUCUACUCAAAACAAACCGGUAUCUCACAAGCACCCUCGGAUCUGCAUCCAACGGCCCACGGCCGAUACGCGGGUUGGAACGUGGGGCCGGAUCUAACCGUCAGUUACCAACGGACGGUCCCGAUCCGAAGUCGUCCUAUUGCCGUCCAAUCUCUAAUCCCGGUCGUCCAAACAGGAUCCAACGAUCCCAACAUCGUCAUCUACCUCCCGUUGCGAAUUCACCCGGUAGGCCCUGACCGCGACAUCGCCGAUGACGGGCAAUGACCUGCCACGCCGGCGAGCUAGCGACUAACUGUCCCUGGUUAUGGAUUGGGGCGCGGGUAACUUCCUAUGCAUAAUGCAAACGAAGACGAACUAUAGGGACUUGCCCUUACCAGCGUUUAGAGGCUGCUCCCAGAGAAUGACUGCGCGACGGUGUUCUUUCAAGGCGAGUUCCGGCGCCCAAACCUGAUGCCGCAGAGGACGCCGCCCACGGUACGGGGAGCGCCGCAGUCGCCACGGGCGUCGAGAACCCGGGCGAACUCCUCCCCGGCACUCCAAGUUUGCUCUCUAUUUCUCUCCUCGACGGGUAACAUCGCGUUUCUUUCUCUC